Molecule: ribosomal RNA, 468 nt
Filed under: uncultured bacterium
Lineage: Bacteria
Description: partial 16S ribosomal RNA
Rfam family: Bacterial small subunit ribosomal RNA
Source: RNAcentral
GACGAACGCUGGCGGCGUGCUUAACACAUGCAAGUCGAACGGAAAGGCCCUGCUUUUGUGGGGUGCUCGAGUGGCGAACGGGUGAGUAACACGUGAGUAACCUGCCCUUGACUUUGGGAUAACUUCAGGAAACUGGGGCUAAUACCGGAUAGGAGCUCCUGCUGCAUGGUGGGGGUUGGAAAGUUUCGGCGGUUGGGGAUGGACUCGCGGCUUAUCAGCUUGUUGGUGGGGUAGUGGCUUACCAAGGCUUUGACGGGUAGCCGGCCUGAGAGGGUGACCGGGCACAUUGGGACUGAGAGACGCACCAGACGCGUACGGGAGGCAGCAGUGGGGAAUAUUGCACAGUGGGCGGGAGCGUGAGGCAGCAACGCCGCGUGCGGGAUGACGGCUUUCGGGUUGUAAACCGCUUUCGCCUUUGACGAGGCGUGAGUGACGGUAAUGGGUAAAGAAGCACCGGCUAACUACGUG